GGCGGUGUAGCCAAGCAGUAAGGCAAAGGACUGCAAAUCCUUGAACCUCGGUUAGAUUCCGGGCUCCGCCU
Molecule: transfer RNA, 71 nt
Filed under: Solibacillus merdavium
Lineage: Bacteria; Bacillati; Bacillota; Bacilli; Caryophanales; Caryophanaceae
Description: Solibacillus sp. Sa1YVA6 tRNA-Cys
Rfam family: tRNA
About the family: Transfer RNA (tRNA) molecules are approximately 80 nucleotides in length. Their secondary structure includes four short double-helical elements and three loops (D, anti-codon, and T loops).
Source: RNAcentral